AUUGAACGCUGGCGGCAGGCUUAACACAUGCAAGUCGAACGGUAACAUAAAGGAGCUUGCUUCUUUGAUGACGAGUGGCGGACGGGUGAGUAAUGCUUGGGAAUCUAGCUUAUGGAGGGGGAUAACUACGGGAAACUGUAGCUAAUACCGCGUAGAAUCGGGUGAUGAAAGUGUGGGACCUUCGGGCCACAUGCCAUAGGAUGAGCCCAAGUGGGAUUAGGUAGUUGGUGAGGUAAAGGCUCACCAAGCCGACGAUCUCUAGCUGGUCUGAGAGGAUGACCAGCCACACUGGGACUGAGACACGGCCCAGACUCCUACGGGAGGCAGCAGUGGGGAAUAUUGCGCAAUGGGGGCAACCCUGACGCAGCCAUGCCGCGUGAAUGAAGAAGGCCUUCGGGUUGUAAAGUUCUUUCGGUAGCGAGGAAGGCAUUUAGUUUAAUAGACUAGGUGAUUGACGUUAACUACAGAAGAAGCACCGGCUAACUCCGUG
RNAcentral lists this ribosomal RNA (490 nucleotides) under uncultured bacterium. RNAcentral describes it as "partial 16S ribosomal RNA". It matches the Rfam family "Bacterial small subunit ribosomal RNA", at positions 30 to 507 of the family's 1533-position model. The record is from RNAcentral.